RNAcentral lists this small nuclear RNA (19 nucleotides) under Arabidopsis thaliana (thale cress). RNAcentral describes it as "snRNA_12517". The record is from RNAcentral. Lineage: Eukaryota; Viridiplantae; Streptophyta; Magnoliopsida; Brassicales; Brassicaceae.
UUUGUUCUUUCUUUUUAAA